GAAUGAUCUUGGCCUCUAUGUUUUUGCUUCAAAGCCAUCGAGUGGAGCUGCUAUUUUCAAGUUUUAACACCAACCGCUUGUUUGCCCUUUGGCAAUAAACAUUCAGUUUUUUAUUUAUGUCAAGAAACAUUUGAUUUAAUCUAACAGAAUAAAAUUCGAUGCUGCCUUGUAAGAACUUUUUCAAAGUAAAUAAUUUAUUUCGCUCAAGUGAAUAGGAAAAAUCGAUUACCA
This 231-nucleotide unclassified non-coding RNA is filed under the name Hevea brasiliensis (rubber tree). The record is from RNAcentral. Lineage: Eukaryota; Viridiplantae; Streptophyta; Magnoliopsida; Malpighiales; Euphorbiaceae.